Molecule: ribosomal RNA, 429 nt
Filed under: uncultured bacterium
Lineage: Bacteria
Description: bacterial SSU rRNA
Rfam family: Bacterial small subunit ribosomal RNA
Source: RNAcentral
UGGGGAAUUUUGGACAACGGACGAAAGUCUGAUCCAGCCAUUCCGCGUGCAGGAUGAAGGCCCUCGGGUUGUAAACUGCUUUUGUACGGAACGAAAAGGUCUCUCCUAAUACGAGAGGCUCAUGACGGUACCGUAAGAAUAAGCACCGGCUAACUACGUGCCAGCAGCCGCGGUAAUACGUAGGGUGCAAGCGUUAAUCGGAAUUACUGGGCGUAAAGCGUGCGCAGGCGGUUAUAUAAGACAGAUGUGAAAUCCCCGGGCUCAACCUGGGAACUGCAUUUGUGACUGUAUAGCUAGAGUACGGUAGAGGGGGAUGGAAUUCCGCGUGUAGCAGUGAAAUGCGUAGAUAUGCGGAGGAACACCGAUGGCGAAGGUGGCUCUCUGGGACGGUACUGACGCUGAGACGCGAAAGCGUGGGGAGCAAACAGG